GAUGAACGCUAGCGGCAGGCUUAACACAUGCAAGUCGAGGGGCAGCAUAAUGAAGUAGCAAUACGGAUUUGAUGGCGACCGGCGCACGGGUGCGUAACGCGUAUGUAACCUACCUCUAACAGGGGGAUAACACUGAGAAAUUGGUACUAAUACCCCAUAACACUUUGGAGGGCAUCCUCUGAGGUUGAAAGUUCCGGCGGUUAAAGAUGGACAUGCGUUGUAUUAGCUAGAUGGUGAGGUAACGGCUCACCAUGGCGACGAUACAUAGGGGGACUGAGACGGUUAACCCCCCACACUGGUACUGAGACACGGACCAG
RNAcentral lists this ribosomal RNA (317 nucleotides) under uncultured bacterium. RNAcentral describes it as "bacterial SSU rRNA". It matches the Rfam family "Bacterial small subunit ribosomal RNA", at positions 28 to 334 of the family's 1533-position model. The record is from RNAcentral.